This is a long non-coding RNA of Mus musculus (house mouse), 16807 nucleotides long. RefSeq annotates it as predicted gene, 53391. The record is from RefSeq and is a predicted model, not a curated record. The transcript is spliced from 2 exons. Lineage: Eukaryota; Metazoa; Chordata; Mammalia; Rodentia; Muridae.
AAUAGGAAUAGGCUGUGCUAUUAGGCAGGCAAGAGUGGGAGCUUGGUCCCUGUCCCCUGGACCUGUGACAGCACACAACGGGUAGGAGGAUGUAAGGGCUUGAGGAGUGAGCUCUGUUGGGAUGUGGCCACUCUCGAGGAAUCAGAAAGUGUCCUCACAGAGCUCUGUCAGCAGAACUAGCCCUAUGAGGAAAAGGCUUCUGUAUGCACCCUGGGAACUACCUGGGCACACCAAGGCUACCUACUUCUUUUGUGAGACCCACUGGACUAGUGCACUAUGGGAAUUGCUGCCAUCAGCAUCUGUGGCUGUGGAAAUGAGGGAGUUAGAAACGUUUCAGCCCCCAGAGAUAGACAUCCUGGGGGUACAAGGCCAGGGCAGCCAUUUAUAACAGGGCGUACCUCAGGAGACUGGCCACGCACAGUGCCUUGACUCUGGUGGUAUGUGAUCCUGGUCUGUGGAUUAAGUGAUAACUUCUGAGAGAGGAGAGAUCUGCACCAGAGUCCCAUCAGCAUGAAAGGCUGAGAUGGGACAGGUAGAUGACAGCAUGACUUGGGAGGCCAAGGGAAGAAGUGGCCACAGGCAUUUGUGAUCACCACCCAAGGGUAUCUUGAAGGACUCAAAUCUCUCUGCUCCCUCCAGGCAUCUGGAACCCUGUGCAGCAUGGGUGUUGUGGGGUGUUGCCACCUCUGUGUUUUCAUACAGUUUAGUAGAGUAUGAGUGUGUAUGCUUUUCCUGGUUACCAGCCCCCAAGGAUAGCAUUGGUCCUCAGCACAAGAAGGAAAGGCAUGGUUCUCAGUCAUGCCCCGCACACUUAGAGCCUGGCCUCUGUUCCACUCUGUGGCUCUCCCUCACCCGGGAGGCUGCUUCUUGUUUUCUCUGGGCAUAUUAGUGUCUGGAAGCUGGGGACAAGACCCACACUGGAGCUCUCUUGCUGGUGACUCAGGAAAGGGUAAUCCCUGGCUCUAUUCAAGUCAAGCAUGGGGCUGGGGCGGACACUUGCCUUUCUUGCCAGAAUGACCUGCAUGGGAUAAAGUCCAAACGAAAGUUCACUGCAGAAGCACAUGGAGCAGCAGGUGCCUGUACCACCCCAUUUACCCCGAGGCACAUUGUACAUCGACUUGACAGCAGAACACAGAGGGCGUGCUGCCAGCUCAACUUGUGUGUUCCAGACAAGAGCAGCAACAGGAAUAGCAAGCAAGCACACACACACACACACACACACACACACACACACACACACACACACGUUUUUACAGAAAGUGAUAGGUUACUGCAGACCAUUUUACUGAUACAGAAAUGUUCAAAGAAGAAAUUCAGCAGCCCCAGAAGAUGCACCCAAGGGAGGAGAGCGAGCUGCUUGGCCUUGUUCUCACUGAAGACUUAGGAAUAAACGGCCCAGGGACAGGUAGCCUUUGUUAUCAGCCAUAUCUUGGCUGGCAGUCACUGCACAGGUGUGAGUGCCUGCUCUGGCCACAGAGAACUGCAUGCGUUAGAGGAGUCAUGUGUCAUGCUUGCUCAGCCUGUGUCUUGGUCACUGUUCUGUUGCUAUGAAGAGACUCCAUGACCUCGGCAACUCUUAGAAAAGGAAACAUUUAAUUGGGGGCUUACUUACAGUUUCAGAGGUUAGUCCAUUAUCACUAUGGUGAGGACGGUGAAGGCAGAUAGGCAGACAUAGUCCUGAAGAAGUAGUUGAGAGUUCUGCAUCCUGAUUCCGUAAGCAGAGAGGGACUCUCUGGGCCUGACGUGGGCUUUUGAAACCUCAGAUCCCACCCCCAGUUCUUGCCCGAAGGGCACACCUCUUCAUCCUUUUCAAAUCCUGCCACCCACUGAUGACUAAGCAUUCAAACACAUGAGCUGUGGGGACCAUACUUACUCAAAUCUCCACGGUCUGCAUCUCUGGCCUCCAUCUCUUUAUUCAGGACCCUCAGUUGACUGAGUUAGUUUUAGCAUGGACCAUUUCUAGACUUCAUCUUUUGGGCUGCUUGUCAUAUGCCGUGCGUGGACCAGAAGUCUUGAGAACAGAAGGACCUUCUAGAGGCCGGAAGGCCAAGUUCAUGUCAGCUUCAAGUUCAGUGUCAGAGGGUGCACUCUUCUAUCCCAAUUAUGAAAACUAAUUCACGUCAGAGGUUUCAGCCCCCUUGUGCCAUCGUGUUCCAUGAGAAGAUUUCAACAUGGAUUUUGGGAGGAGACACAGUGUGUGCAGUGUUUGUCGAAUCAGGUGGCAUAGAUGAUGGGGGUAGGGUUAGAUUCUGUGUCUUCUUGGGUCUGCCUGUUGCUCCUCUUCAUAGGACUUUUCCUGCACUCUGCCUCUCUUCAGGACCACAGCUCUGUUACUUCAUCUUGGGGAAUACUAGACCCCUUGGGAAAUGCUUCUGCCACCCAUUUAGGGAGAGGAAGUGGAAACUGGAUUUGUAAUAUGUUACAAUAUUACAUCAUUGUCUGGCCUGUGAUGCUCUUCCCAGAACUCCAGAUGGACCCACAGCCACCUUCCCCCGUGUGGAAUCCUGUAUCUUGUAUGGUAGCAGUGGGACACAGGGAGACGCCAGAGCAUCUCAUGCUGUGCUCAUGCUGGUCCCCUGCCAGGUCUUGGCCUUUGCUCUAUAUUACCUUACCCCUUAUAGUCCUAGAGUUUCUGCUGCUUAAGUGUGAGGGUUGUGCUUCGUCUGGACCCCACAGCACUAGAGAGGAAACAUGCUGAUGGCUGGAGAAAGAGGGACCCAGGGAGCUGCUAUACAAGUGGGUGUUGGCAGGCCUAUGUAUGCUGUUACGCGUGUGGCCUAAGUCCUUGGAACUGCUCGAAGGCUGUUUCUGCUGGGCAGACAUAGUCCAUUGGGAGGUGGGGUCACAGCUACCCUACCAAUGUGAACUUGAGUCUAACUACUAAGUUCAUCAAAAGCAGAUUAAUUCAAUACUCCCUGGACUUCUACAUGAAGGUAGAUGGUAGGAUGUGAUCAGCCUUGUAUUCCUGACUGAAUCGCAAGUACUCAUAGCAUUCUUAAAGCUGCUGGAUGGUGAUAGCAGCCUUCACUGAGCUGUGACCUAGAUGGUGCGCUCUUCAUCCUGCGAUGUCCUGGGAACAGGGGCUCUGACCUUCAGUCAUCCUAGGUCUUAGAGACACUACUACAUGCAGCCUCUGCUCUUUUUUGGUUUUUCCAGACAGGGUUUCUCUGUGUAGUCCUGGCACUCACUCUAUAGACCAGGCUAGCCUUGAGCUCAGAAAUCCACUUGCCUCUGCCUCCCAAGUGCUGGGGUUAAAGGCGUGCACCACCACUGCCCGGCUGAGUUCUUAGUUCUUAGUCCUUGCAGGCUAGAAAAAGCAGACCAGUGAGAGAACAGGCUCCAAGGUGCCCAUUCAACACAUAGGUCUAUAGUCCAUGCCAUGGUAGAAGGAGAAUAGCUGUCUGUUGCUGGACAUCGACAUCUGUGAGUGGGUCUCAGUGUGGAUCUCCGAGGAGGCGAGGGUAGCUGUCGGUGAGGAUGCUCCUCCCUCACAUAGUUACCAUUUAGGAAUUAUGUGUUUCCCUGAAAGAGUUUUUAUCAUGGUUCAUGGUAAAGGGCAUAAACCUGGAGUCCAUUCACCAGUUUGGAGAAAGCUGUUUGGUGUAUAAUGUGGUCUAGGGUUCCUGCACUUAUACUUGCUAGGACUUGCAACCUACACAGGGUCUGGCUCUGUCCAACCUAUAAAGACCUCAAGGGAGCAGGCUGCUCAAGCCUAGAGUCAGUUCUCUUAAGAAGUAUAGUUCAGGUCAGCAGGGAAUGUGAAGCCCACUGAGCUCUGAGAAUCCCCCAAAGUUUAGCCAAAGCCCAGGCUUGGCAGCCACUGGCCUGGAUCCUUGUGGGAUGGAGUGGUCUUCGUGGCCCUCCUGUGAGAACAUGGUGCUGACAGUGAAAGAUGCUAGAAGAUAGAUAGGCCAUGGUUGUCCAAGUGGAGGAGUCUUCUGUCUUCAGAACAGCUCUGCAAGAACACUCCACCCCCACCAUCCCAGGACCUGGAGGCAGAUUCCAAAUUAUGUCAAGGUCUGAGAAGCCUGAGUUGACAGUUGAGUCUCAUUGUUGGGGUUGUGGGGGCAGCGUAAGGUGUGUGCUGCUGUUCGGAAAGACAUUACCUUGUUGAAACACUGACUUGAGCGUCUUUUCUUCACUUACUUUUCUGAUUUAGGCAACAGGAAGCUGUCCAGGAAAGAUUCUGCGAGGAAAUGAAGCCCUUCACCUACAGUCAUCGCUCUUGUUGACAUUGUCAGCGGCGGUGGUGCUAGAAAUUGAACCCAGAGCCUUAGCUUCCCAGUCAUUUGCUCUGCCACUUGCUUGAUUGUGGGAGUGUCCACAAGGCACUAGUGGUUUUCAGCCUGGGUGUGCGCUUUGCUAGAAACGACAUCCAGAGCCUUGUGCUUACCCAUCCCACAACCCUAGCCUGGCCUUCAGUGGGCUGCUCCCGUGCAGUCGGGUUCUCUGCCUCCUUACUCAAGCCCCAGGUCAGAUAAGCAUGGCCAUCUCCAUACUCUCCUGAGGCAGCCUUGUGACUGCUAUCCUCAGUAAUUCUAGUGUGAAUUCCUAGGAGUCAGCUAAGGAAUGUGCCUUUCAAGGGUCAGUAAGUAGUCUUUAGCAAGGCCUUAGGACUCCUGUGCUCCAUACCUCAGCAAAGAAGGAAGUCGAGAGAAUUUUGCAGUAAACAGAAGUCACUGUUGAAGUAGGCUUGCAACAAGAAGGGCCCAGACUCACCCUUCACCCAGGAACUGUAGCCUCUCCUUUUAAAGGGAAAUAAAGCUGCUUCCAGGGAAACAGCACACCCCGUGGCUCUGCCUCACACCCUGAAUGCUUUAAGAUCCAGCCUUGAAAGACAUCCCAUAGUGUUCUCAGGUGUAGCAGUUGAAGGAAGGAGUUUCUAACAGAAGCCUGUACGGGGCCAGCCCACAGAAUGCUUACAGUGGGCUACACCACCACUUUCCACUUUACCCAGCUGUCUGCAGGAAGGGCCCCAUGGGCUUUACCAUGUGCCUGCGCCCUUAAGGCUGUUAGAAUUCUGGCUUCUGCGUGGAAUGCAGACUUAGUGGCCACUGUAAUAAAGUGGGCCCUGCUGGCUCCGCCUGGCCAAGUGUGGACAGCAGACUUAGUGACUGCUGAGAUUGACAGCUGUGUGCAGUGUCUCUUGGUGGUGGUCUGUCUGACUCUGGCCCAGGGCACCCUAGGCAGAAUCACCCUGUCCCCCACUAUGCACCAUCAGGAAACUCCUAUUUCUUGAGAAAGAAGCGCACUCACGCCCAGGGAGGGAUCUGGCUUCUUCCCUCUCGUACGGACCACUAUUGUGUUUAUAAAGAGAGAAAGAGAAAGGGGGGAUAUGUUCUAUGGAGGUGUGGUAAGGUAUGGUGGAAGGGGUCAACUCAGCAUGUUCCCAUGCUGAGGCAUUCCUUCCCCCUGACGGACCAGCCACGUGACUGCAUUGUAUAGAAUAGAGUUUAUCCAAGGCCUGGGGAGGGGAGUUAGUGGGUAGUAGAGGCAGAGACAGGCAGAGUGGGGGAAGGGAGGAGUAGAGGCCGGCCAUGAGCACGUGGAGCGAGGGGCGGGGAGGGAAUGGGGAAAGAGGGGGGAAGGGAUGAGGGGACAGCAGAAGGGAAGAGCAAGAGAAGGAGAGGCCAAGUAGCUCCCUUUUUUAGUGGGUCAGGCCUAACUGGCUGUUGCCAGGUAACUGUGGGGUGGAGUUUAGACAGAAUGCUAACACCUGACCUUGGGGAUGGGACCUCUUUUUCUUUUUUUUCCGUUUCUUUUUUCUUAAAGAUUUCUUUGCUUAUGUAUUUACUUGUUUUACACCAGAAGAGGGCAUCAGAUCCCAUGACAGAUGUUUGUGAGCCACCAUGUGGUUGCUGGGAAUUGAACUCAGGACCUCAGUGCAGGCAAUACUUUUUUUAACCACUGAGUCAUCUCUCCUGCCCCCUCAUAUGCCUUCUGUUUGAUUCAUUUCUUUCAACAUUCACAAAUGGAUUGAAAGACACUUAAUAAAAGGUUGUAUUCGAUCUCUUUUAUCACAUGGCCAAAGCCAGAUUCCCUAAGGAACAGGGAGGGCAUCAUUUCUAAGUUCCCAGUGGUGGACAUCACCAGAUAGAAGAAACCCAGGACACUGUGCAGUGGGUCCUCCUGGGUAGGAGCUGUUGUUGGGAAGGGAAGCUUUUCAGCACGGAGCAGGACAAGGUUAGACUGUGUCCCCCAGCCCCAGCCCCACCCCCACCCCUGCCUGUCUGCAGCCAUGACACAGCUGGCCAGACUGGGCGCCACUGGCACCUCCUCUCAGCCUGUGUCCUACUCAAACACUGGGUGGGCCUUCAAGAGGAGGGGCUGCAGAGGGUAGUGACGGAGAAGCAACGCCCCGCCCUGGAACUAGGCUUAAGCAGCCUCCUGCUGAAGUGAGUCUCCUGGCACCCCUCAGAUUCCCUUUUGGCUUGCUUUCUUUGUCACCAAGGCAGUUUCAGUGGGUCAUGUUAAAAAGGAAAAUGGCCAACAGGCCCAGAUCAAGAGCCUUGCCAGCCUGGUUAUAAGGUGCAGUCGUUGUAGGCUUUACAGCUAUGGUGCUGGCCACCCAGCAAAAAAACGUCUCAGCUAGCUUAGCACUAGGAAGGGUUGUUGGAAGAUCUCUGUAGCCAGAGUUGUAGGUGCCCUUGAGUGUGUUGCCAGGAUAUAGAGGAUCUCCUUGCAAAGUGGGAUACCAUGGGAGGGGUCUGCUAUGCCAUCUGGCCUGGCCCACCUGGGGCCACCCUCAGCGUGUCUGAUCCCAGCAGGGCUUGGGUGCCUUCCAGAACUGUUUUCAUUUUCAGUUCCCUUUAUUGCUAAACCACCUCAGGGCCACAGAGAACAAACUGUUGUCCUCAGCUGACCUCAGAUUCCUGGCCUCAAUUGUUUGCAGUUUGCUAACUUUAGCUUCUGAUCGUUUCCACCCUUAUCCUCCCCCCAAAGGGAGACACAGACCAAGAAUAGCUGCUGGGAAGGGGGGCUGCAGUGGUGUGGCCAGAGUUCCCACAGUGAGCCAUCAGCCUGUGUGAGGCAGCUUCUGCUGCCUAGCCUUGAAGGAGGGGUUUUCUGGGCAUAAGCCCAGGGCCACAGUCGUAGGCCCCUGUACCCCUAGGUGCUUCCAGGCUUUGAGCACAAGAUGAUGCCUGCUUCCAUUUCGUUCUCCUUUUAUAUCAAAACCAGGCUAGUGCCAGGAAAAUGUCAUACCCCCACAGCCCUGCCUCACCCCCUGAGAAUUGCUGACCACAGCACCCAGGUUUAUAGUCUGGGGUCAGAUGUAGCACUUGGCUACAGUCACCCCCAUCCCCCAAUGGCCCCGUGCCCUAGCAUGUCACAUGUUUGCCAAGUGCAGCCUUAGUGUUUGCCCAGCAUUGCCUUGCCAGUCAUGGAACGCACACUAGACUCCAGUGAAGGGACAGUGAUUGUGCAGGUCCAAGGCUUCAGGCUACAGGAUGGACCCACCCAGGGAGGGGAGGAUGGGCAAACCCUGGAGCAGGCCUUCCAGCUAGGGAGGAAGUGCGGCCAGUGUGUUGGGCCUGUUGCUUGGGAUUGAUUGCUAAACUACCAUAGUGAGGAACAUCCCGCAAACACCACCCCAUCUCGCCCUCCCAGUUGUUUUGAAAGAUUUUCUGGAACACCCCAUUACUCUACCCUACGUAUUUAAAUGCCAGGUGUUUUGGUUUGGUUUUUUUACUUGAAAGUCCAGCAUGAAGGAUAGCACUCUGUGACACCUGAAGAAACCUAAAACCUGAUCCCCCUCACCUCAAAGUUGGGGCCACCUGUAGAGUUGGGAUGCAGCCCUGUGAUUGUGUCGUGUUUGCACGCAUGGGGCCCCACACUGGAAAAAGAGGAAGUUUAAAAAAGCAUACCCUGACCCUCCCUCUGCUUCUGCUUCUAACUAGCUGUGAGUAAGACAGGGCGGCUUUCCUGCCACCAGGGCUGUGCUGCUCCGCUGACUUCUGAAGCCAGCAGGAGGCAAUCAGAGGCAGCCUGGGGAGGCCCAGCUCCUUCAGGAUGGUCCUCCACCUCUCCCAGAGCAGGGGAAGUGCUUUAUCUGCACACACCUUAGGAGACCCAGCAGGGCCAGCUGUCUCCAGGGCUUAAUUCUCCAAGGAACUGCUGAGAUGUUGUGUCCACCCCAUUUUGUUUUGCAGUAGGAUUUAAAAAAACUAUUAUUUGAAAAAAAAAAAUUGGUGAGUGUGCACAUCCGGCAAUCUAUAAAGCUUAAGUAGCAGGUUAUUGCACACAUUUUAUUAUAAUAAAUGGCUCCUUUGUUGUCCCCCCCAACUGUGCCUCUCCCAAGGCAGUGCUGCCAGUUCGGUUCCAUGGCUGUUUCCUUUGGCAUUUGGCCUCUAAGAAGGAGUCUGGCUUUAUCUCUCAACUUACGUGAUGGCAGAUGAGGAUGCCGCCCCCCCUACCUCCCACUCAUGGCACCUUUGCUCCUCUCCCAUGGUAAUAGGAUCCAUUUGUAGGUGACUGCAUGUGAGUUGCAGGGGACCUGUACAACACGUGUGUGUGCCUCAUUCCUACCCCCCAUCGACUCAAAUCUAGUUGUCUUUGGCACAGGUUUCUCUGUUACUGGUUUUCCAGAUGUCUUCCUGGGCCUGGGCUCCUGCUGGUGUGUCCCUCGGAGGGUGGAAGCUCAUGUGUGCUUCAUCUUCAGCAGUGGGGCAUGCCUCCACUGCUGCUGAGGAGGGUGUGGAGUGGGCUUAGAGGAUGGGAAAUGGCUCCAUCUUGGUCUUGGUAGUUCAGAUUUGCCUGUGAGAGUUUUCUUGGGACUAUGAAACCCACAUUGCUAAGGCUAGAGCCCUUCUGUUGCUGGCCAUUUGUGUCUCCCCUGCUUGGCUCCUCUCUGGACUGUCUCUCUGUCUCUGUCCUGCCUCCCCUCCCCUCCCCUCCCCUCCCCCCCCUCCCUAAGACUUGUUUAUUUUUGUUUUGUAUCUGUGGAUGUUUGCCUGCAUGUAUGUAUGUGUGUGUACGUGCCACAUGUAUGCCUGAUCACCUGUGGGGACCAGAAGAGGGUGUUUGAUCUCCUGGAACUGAGCCAUGUGAGUGCUGGGAACCUAAUCCAGGUUCUCUGAAAAUACUUGAAAUACUGAGCCAUCUUUCCAGCCCAAAUACUUUUUUUUGUUAAAGAUUUAUCUUUAUUAUUUUUAAUUUAGUUUUUUGAGAAUUUCUUAUUUUUAAGAUUUAUUUAUUUUUUAUGUAUAUGAGUCACUGUAGCUGUACAGAUGGUUGUGAACCUUCAUGUGGUUGUUGGGAAUUGAAUUUUAGGACCUCUGCUCGCUCUGUUUAGCCCCGCUUGCUCAUUCCCUGUUCGCUCCUGCCCAAAGAUUUAUUUAUUAUACAUAAGUACACCAUAGCUGUAUUCAGACACACCAGAAGAGGGCUUCAGAUCUCAUUAUGUGGGUGGCUGGGAAUUGAACUCAGGACCUUUGGAAGAGCAGUCAGUGCUCUUACCCACUGAGCCAUCUCUCCAGUCCUUGAGAAUUUCUACGUGCAUACAGAAUUUGCAUUGUCCUCCCACUCCCUCUCAUUUUCAAUUAUGUUCGUGUUUGUGUGGGUUUGUGUAUGUGGGUGCAGAUGUCUGCAGGCGGGUGUCUGAUACCCUAGACCUGGAGUUACAGGUAGUUAUGAGCUGCCAAGUGUGGGUGCUAGGAAUCGACAUCAGGUCCUGUAUAAGAGCAGAGUGUGCUCUUAACCACUGAGCUAUCACUCCAAUUCUGGGAGGGGUAGAUUUGUGAGCAUGCCUGCUGUGCGCCGCUUCCCCCCCCCCCCCCCCCCCCCCCCCCCCCCCCCGUGGCUUGUGAAGGGUAUCCUUACAUACUUGCUUCAUGAGCUAUCUGGCCAGCCUGGGGUGGGGGUGGAGUUCCAUUGCCAGGGACUGAAACUAUUUGGAUUGGCCUUCAUUUCUUCUUUCCCCUCCUUAUCCAUUUGUCCCAUAUGCUGUUCUCUUUGAAUUUCCUUCAGCAUUUGUUCUAACGCUAACCGGGCUUUUCAUUUCUGACCCACUUUCUUCCAUUGCUUAUUGCCUCAGGCUUCUGCGGCUCUUGUGCACUUCCUCUUCCGCUCCUGCCGUGCUCAGCCUCAGGAUUGUAGUGGGAGCUUGGGAAGUGUGUUUCUCAUUCCUGACUCUUUUCCCCUGCUCUCCACUGUCUUUUGACCUACAGGGCCAGGGGCUGAGUUUUCCGGUGUCUGGUGCUGCUCUGAUGGUAGAGGUCUGUUAGGCCAUUUUCUUCAGGCCUUUGCCUGAGGGAGGAGUCUGCUGCCCUGCGGGGUGGGGGUAGGGGUGGAGUCAGAACCAAAUUGGGGAGGGGGCGGACUUUAGGGUGGCUACAUCUAGCCUGUGAGCUGUUCCCCAGGCUCUGUUGAGAAAACUGCCACACCCUGAGCCAGAAGACUUGCUGUUCAAAGCCUUCCAUUAGCUAGUCUCUGCUGUAGCAGGUCCCUACAUGGACAAUCCAGGCCUGGUGUAACAGCCACAGACGGUGACCAGAGGUCUGAGCUCAUUCCCACUUUUCACUGCAGUAAUUUUUCAGCAUUCAGAUUGGGCCAUUGUCACAGCAUGGGACACGAUGACAUCUGCUCCUAUUGUAUUAGAAGCAUUGGAACAUAACCAGGGCAUGAAGAAAGGGAGAGUGAAGGAAGUAUACCCUGCCUUUUUCGUUUUUUAAAGGAAAUGCGCCUAGAAGCAGUUCACCAAGCCAGGUCUAGGGCAGUCUGCAAAGAACAGCCAGCCUCUCAAACUGAAGUCCGUCCCUCUGAAGAAUGGUUGCUGGGCUAGUGGUAGCGUUUGCAACCCACUGCAGAUGGUUCGUGUGCCUACCUUCCAGGUGGGAAGCGACUCAUUAGGAAAGUGUCUGCUUGAUAGAAGUGACCACCGUGGGUUGCUCUUAACGUAGUUGAGGAGCCGAAGAGAUUAGUUUAUCCAUCUUCAUCUUUUUCUGUCUAUUGAACCUGAUUUAGCCAUUUGCACUAGGUCAGCAGUAAUACGUUGUUACUCCAAGUAGAGCCAUGUGACCGUUGUUAUGAUCACUGAAGGCAAAGGACAUCAUUGUCUGUCAUCCAUUAAGUGGACUAUGGUGAUCAUGUUUCCCUGGGUCCCCCCUGCCAUCUAAGAUUUGACUUGUUUUUUCAUGGUUUUGGUUUUUGUUUGUUUUUGUUUUGUUUUGAGACUCCUGGGCCUGGUAGAAGAGAAGCAAUUCAUCCCAACUCUCCGUAUAGCCCUGGCUGGAACUUGCUAUGGAGACCAGCCUGGCCUGCAGCUCACUGAGGUCCACCUGCCUCUACUUCCUGGGUGCUGGGAUUAAAGGCGAGCACUGCCAUCAUGCCCAGUGUUGCCAGGGUUUUUUUUGUUUUUGUUUUUGUUUUUGUUUUUUUGGUUUUUUUGGUUUUUCGAGACAGGGUUUCUCUGUAUAGCCCUGCCUAUCCUGGAACUCACUUUAGACCAGGCUGGCCUCGAACUCAGAAAUCUGCCUGCCUCUGCCUCCCAAGUGCUUAAAGGUGUGCGCCACCACGCCCGGCACCAUUUUUUUUUUUUAAUAAACACUUUUAUUUAUUCUUUGACAAUUUCAUACACACAUACCAUGUGUCUAUUGAUUCUUGGUCCCCAACUCUCCUCUCACAUUUUCCCUUACCCCUUCAGCUUGUCUUUCUUUAAUCCUUAUUAUUCUUUAAAAAAAAAAAAAAACAAAAAAAACAAAAAAAAAAAAACAAGGCAAUGAGUCCAGUUAAUGCUGCCCUUCUGCAGAUGGGUAUGGGGCCAUUCACCCACCAGAGCACAUACAACUUACCAGUGGCCACAACCCUAAAAAAUGGUGGUCCCACCACCACAGCAGCCAAAACCCAUCAAUUGCCACAUAGCUUGUCAGCUGGUGGUAGGAGCUCGUGAGCCCUUCCCUGGCCCAUGCUAGAAUGCGCACAGGCUUGAUCUUGUGCAGGUAACGUCAGAGGAUGUGAGCUCAUUAGUGCAGCAGCCAUGCCAAGUCAAAAAGAGGUAGACCUUCAACAAUUUUGAGGGGUAUUGGCUAUGAUGUUCAAUUUCACUGUCAACCAAACUGGAUUUAGAAUCACCCAGGAGACACUUCUCUGGGAAGACCUACCUGAUGUGUGUGGGUGAUACCACCUGAUGAUCUGGGGUCCCAGACUAUAUAAAAAGCAGACACACACCAGCAUUAAUCGUUCUGCUACCCGAGAAUGCAAUGUAACCAGCUGCCCGGUGCUCCUGCCUCCUGCCACGAUGAACUGUUGUUCUCCAAACCCUGAGCCCAGAAUAAAGUCUUCCUUACAUCUCUGGUCAGGUACUUAGACACAGCAACAAGAAUAGCAAUUCUACACAGGCUAAGUAUUCUGUAGACUGUCCCUCAGCCUGUAGCUGUCUGAUCUUUCUUUCUCUCAUGGUUGGACUGGGUUUGUGGCUUUCGGAGGUAAACACAGCAGAAAGGAAGAGUCUUUCCAUUUCAUGCCUGUGGGGAAUCCAGUUCAUGUGAAUUUAGUGCUAUUUAUGUUGUUACUCAAAUAUCCCAGCCCUGGACAGGGACUCUUUAGGCCUGUUCCUGUGUCCUUUUGACAUGCCCCUUCGUUUUUGAAUUUUUGUCUGUUUCCUGACUUUCUGGCAUUAUAUGAUGCUCGGGCUUACGGACUUUUCCUGUCCCAGCCCACAGAUCAAAUCCAAAGGACCCUGUUUCCUCUCACUGCAGAAUGGUAUCAGAAUCCAGGAUCUGGGUGUGCUCCUUGUGACUGGGGUGUGGCUGCCACUAUGCCACUCUGCGUAGAGCUGUGUGUGUGUGUGUGUGUGUGUGUGUGUGUGUGUGUGUGUAACAUUUACAUUGUUUAACACAUUAACGAAAUACACCAUAUCUCUCUGUCCUUCCAUAUCUAGCUCUUCUUAUUUGUGGCCAGCCUCUGGGACUAGACUCCCAGUGGACUGCCCCUUUCUGUGACCCCUCUACAUCUACCCCCCAGCAGUGGCCUUACCUGUGUCCCCUUUCCUUAGUGCACCCGGGAGGCAGGUGUAGAUUGUUAGACCACGCUUAGAGUUGAUGUUUUGCUGACUACAGUGCAGGUCCUUUUGCCUGCUCUUAAAGAGUUUCCAGUCACAGCACUGUGUUCCCAGUAACUUAGGUCAGCUGCUGUCCCACCCUGCACAAAGGCAUGUGACUCAGUCUGUCCCAGCCUGGGAUUCCCCAGCUUCCUGGUUGGUGUUUAUUUGUGUAGCCUGAAAUGCCUUGUUUGUGAAUACAGUUCCAAGUGCUGGGGUGGUGGUGGUUGUUGUUGUUGUUAUGGUGUUGGGUUGAGAUGGAGACUGCACUAAGGUUACCCCCAACCCCAGAACUGACAAAUGCAGUCUUUAUCUACUUACUGUCCUUAUACCACUAUAGAAGUCACCCUGUUCAUCCCCUUAUAGACGCUAACCAGUCUCACAUCCCUCUGUCCUUGGUGGGAUUUCUGUCUAUAGGUCUGUGAUUUACAGAAUGAAAUAUAAAUAGAGCCAUGGGAAGUGCAGCCUUUUAUGUCUGGUUGUUUCACCUUAGCAAAGUUCAUUCAUAACUUAUCCAUUUUGUUGUGAGUCAGGAGCUUCUUUUUAACCAUUGAAUAAUAUUCCAUUGUGUGGAUACACCAAAAUCUGUCUCUCCAUCUGUAGAAAGUCCAUGCCUCCAUUUGAGAUAGUUACGAAUAGCUGUUUUAAGGUUUGUGUACAGGUCUUAGUAUGAAAUCUAUUUUUAGUUCACCUUGGUGAAGGCCUAUGAGUGGGGUUAGGGUGUUGUGUAUAAGGUUGUAUAAAUUCAUAAGACUCUGUGGGAGACUUUGCACAGUGGCUGUUUCUCUCUCCUAGUGUGAGAGUGAAUUGGUCCAGCAGCACUCAGUGCUGGCAACUUUCUGAUUCUAACAUUGCCAUGAACGUGUGGAGUGCUGUCCUCUCCUGUUCUCAUUUGUAGUCAUAAGGUCAGAAGAUGCUGAGCACCCGUGAGCUGUUGACCAUCCUCUUCAACAUCCUUCUCAGACUAUUGUUGAAGCUGGGAGCUUAUUGUUGAAACUUCAGAGCAGUUUAUAUAUGCCGGAUGACUGCAAGUUCUCUCUCUCUCUCUCUCUUUCACCCGUCCCCCCCCCCCCCCACACACACACACACACACUCUGUUUCUUUCUGAUUUUUUGAGACAUGAUUUCUCUGUGUAAUACCCAGACAGAGACUGUUGAUGCUGGCUUCUGAAAUGGGAUAUGGUCCCUUCAGUUCAGGAUGACAAAGCAGGCCCCCAUGUGGCUCUCUGCAGCUUGGGGACGAGGAGCCAGGAAGAUAGACACACUGUUGUUGUUCCUUUGGAAAGCAGUUCUGCGACCUAAGGAUUGAGUGGGAAGAGAUGGAAAUGUCUGCUCUUUGGGUUCAGCUCACUCUCCCUCAUAGCUUGAUAGCCUGGAGAAGAGCUUUGACAGAGCAUUCUGCAUCUGAAAGCUUUUACAGUGGCUAUUUCUCCCGUCGCAUAUAUCUCCAGUAGUAAUAGGGCGGAGCUCCUGAGAGAGCCUGUCUGUGAUGGCUGCAUAUUCCCCCCACAGAAAACAAGAGUGUUGAUUAUUGUCGUUUUAUAGGGGUUCAGAGAAACGGAAAAUUUCAAAUGUGUUUUGUAACCCUUAGUAAAAGGAGGGGAAACACUGUUAUGAAAUGUCUGGCGUGUGCUCCAUUUGACCUCUCUAAGCAAGUGUGCCAACAUGUGCAAACAACGUGUGCAAAUUAGUGCUACUUCCUUGUCAGGUUGGGGGGAUGGUUUGGGGGUGGGAGAUUUUGAGAAAGAGUGUGUGUGUGUGUGUGUGUGUGUGUGUGUGUGUUUGCUUGCAUGCUGGUAGGUAUGUACAUGGCUUUGUGUAUUGUUAUACUCUUUAUGACUGCCUGAACCAGUUCAGUUGAAAAUACAAGGGUUUCAGAAAGGACAGUCAGACACUGUAUCUACCCCAGAAUAUUCCAUGCUUCUUUGCUGUGCUUAUAGAGUCAUAUUCUUUGGUACUCCAUAGAGUAUGCAGUUUGCCUGCAUCCAAACAUGGCUUCAGGAGUUUAGCUGUGUUUAAACCUCCCUGUCUGUUGCUUGUGAAAACAUCAGACAGUUCCAUGUGCUCCCCCCACCCCCUCCCACACACACACCCUCAUCCUAACCUUCCUCCAGAUGAAUGAAGCAACUGUAGAUGCCACCGAUCAUGGAGCGCCACCCUGAACCAGAGCUUGCUGGAGAGGGACAGGGUUUGGGACAGGGUUCCAGCUCUGGGAGUUGUCCUGUCACCAAACCUCCCUUAUCACCAGCAGCAUGGGAUAGAUGUGGGAUAAAAUCCCUUGCAAAGCUACAGUGGAAAGGUCUUUGUAAUCCUGCAUGUAUAGAGUAUAGCACUUGCCUUGCUCUCUUUCCUGAGUGUCUCUUGGAUUAGCUCCUUGUAGCUCCCUUGGGGUCCUGCUCCAGGCCCGGUAGCAAAGGGCAUAGGAAAUAGGGUGGAGGCGGCAAGACAGGGUUCAAGGAGGAAGGAAGGGCCUGUGUAGAAGCAGUGGCCAGGGCUGGGUCUGGAAUUAGGACUGGCCUUGUCUCCUAAAUGGCUUCCUGAGCAGAAUUCCCAAACUUGUGAGCAGCUGCAGGCAGAACUGAAGGGACUAUACCUGUGGCUAUGGAAAUUUUGCAGGAAAGCCUGUUCUCAGACUAGACCUUUGAACACAAUGGUUUUCCCAGAAAAUGCUUGGUAUAAAUUGCCAGUAACUGGAGACAUCUGUUGGGUCAGUGGGCCUGUGAUCCUGUAAGAAAUUCUCUGGCUGGCCUUGAAGGUGUGAAGCAGGGAUCCCUACCGCUCUGCAGCUGUUCUAGAAAUGACACCCCCCCCCCUUUUCUUUCUUUAAAAUAAAAAGUCAGAUAAUCUGGCCCCAUGGUUUAAAAAAAAAAAAAAAAAAAAAGACAUUUCCAAUGUGUUUGCUUUAUGAAAUCAACUCUGGAUAAAUUGUUUCAUUAUAUCCUGCUGGCAAUUUCAUGGGACCUCCCUCUCCCCAGUUAAUUAGAACCCUCUGAGUCAGCUGGGUGGUGGUGGCACACGCCUUUAAGCCCAGCACUUGGGAGGCAGAGGCAGGCGGAUUUCUGAGUUUGAGGCCAGUCUGGUCUACAAAGUGAGUUCCAGGACAGCCAGGGCUAUACAGAGAAACCCUGUCUCGAAAAACCAAAAACCACCCCCCCCCAAAAAAAAACAAAAACACAAAACCCUCUGUAUCAGUUGGGGCAGGUCAGGUAAUCACUGUUCAAGACUUUGAGGUAGUCCCUUUCAGCCUCCCCCAGGUGCUAGGUGUUGUGUGAUGCAGCAAGAACAUUGGUGACUGGCACCUGGGAUUGUUCUGCAGGGGUGCUGCCUUUAGCUUGCAGGCUGACUUUGAAAUCAAGUAUUAGCCAACUGCUACAACCCAGUUCUGAAGUAGCUUCUCUUACAGAGCCUGAAGGGACAGGGCGCUGAGGGUUGGAUCUGCCUUGGCUCAGCCCCCAUCCGUGGGUCAGAUGGGGGCACUGGUUUCCUCUGGAUCUCUCUUUUCCCCUGUAACACCAGUGUGCAGGCAUCAAGCUCUAGCAGCAUCAUCGACAGCACGGCUGUGGCAAGGAAGGAUAUGAAAAUUCAUUCCUAGUCAAAAUCCCAGCUUUGAGGCCCAGCACUCUGAUGGGCCUUGACUCCCCAUCUGCGAUGGGCUCCCACACUUCAGGUCUCUGGGUUGGACAAGUCAGGCAAACUGGCAAAAUGUGAAGAUGAAGCUGCCCCUCUCUGGUGGGCUCCUGCCGCUAGCGUGGGAUAACCGAGAACGUAAGCA